GAUUCUCUUUUAUAUAGUUUAAAUAAAACAUUACAUUUUCACUGUAAAAUUAAAUAUCUCAUAUUUUUUAA
This 71-nucleotide transfer RNA is filed under the name Cautires sp. UPOL 000297. RNAcentral's name for it is "tRNA-Glu". The record is from RNAcentral. Lineage: Eukaryota; Metazoa; Arthropoda; Insecta; Coleoptera; Lycidae.